Molecule: transfer RNA, 83 nt
Filed under: Virgisporangium ochraceum
Lineage: Bacteria; Bacillati; Actinomycetota; Actinomycetes; Micromonosporales; Micromonosporaceae
Description: tRNA-Tyr
Source: RNAcentral
GCGCGUCGUGGACGUCGGCACGUCCAGCGGCCUGUAAAGCCGUCGCCCCCGGGCACACCUGGAUCGACACCAGGGACGCGCAC